Cynoglossus semilaevis (tongue sole) is the source of this 1238-nucleotide long non-coding RNA. RefSeq lists it as uncharacterized. The record is from RefSeq and is a predicted model, not a curated record. The transcript is spliced from 3 exons. Lineage: Eukaryota; Metazoa; Chordata; Actinopteri; Pleuronectiformes; Cynoglossidae.
GAAAUGGAACACCCUGUUAAGAGCGUACAUCACCAGUAGACUGUGACGGCUCUGACGUCAGCAGACGCUGAAGUGAUGAAGCUCCGCCUCUGUAGCUUUAUCUCUCCGUCUCGUCUUCCUGUUGAGCCGGGAUGCAGGUGUAUGUGAACAGCUGAGUCCUGUCCUGAGGAGUUGGCCCUCCUGUGUUGGACCAUGCGUCUGUGAGGCGGUUGUAUAGUCUCCCCAAUGUACAGUACAUUCCCUUCAGACAUUUCUUCAUGGACCAGAACUACUGGACAGCUGUAUAAAAACAGGAAGAGAACGAAAGAGGCCUCUGGAGAAGGUCCUCCAAAAGUGUCUCUUAUUAAUCUCCUGAAAUGUAAUUUGAGGUGGCCGUGAGUAACAUUACAUGUUGUGGUUUACAUCCUCUCUGGUUCUGCUGCUCCCACUCCUGUGGUGUCCUCCAGUGACUCAUCGCCUUCGUCUUCAUCUCCCAUCAUUUCCUGCAUUUUUUUUUCUAGGCCUGUGCAUUAACCACAGAGCAGAAACUGCUCUUUAUGGAUCGACCCAGGCUUACCAGAGCCAUCAAUUACAGGGAGCGGGGGGUCUGGGGGGGGGUGUAGAUAUUUGGCCAUAACUCAGUGCAGCGGCCACGCAGGCAGCAGAAGCGACAAUGGCAGCAGCAGUAAACUACCCCUGAAGUGUUUAUCAGGCUAAUAAUGAUUUAAUGGUAAAGAGUGAGCUACUAAUUAUCACUGGUGAAAGAGAUAGACGAAGACAGAGAAAGAGAGAGAGAGAGAGAGACAAUGAGAGAGCCUGUCUGUACAUGAGUAAAUAACUGGGUGCAUAUGUCGCACAUAUGGAGGCGCUGAAUGCCCCUCCCCCCUCCCCCCAUCCCUCUAAGGGCUCUGGAUCUGCCCCUGGAAACAACAAUGACAGCAAACCACAAGGGUCCCUCCCGGCGUUCUUUAUGUCUUCUAAUCAGCAUUGAUCAUUAUGAGCAGGAAACAAAGAGAAGGAAAGCUAAAGAGAGAAGAAGAACAUCUGAUGAUCAGCCGAGUCUGAUGAUCAACACAGUUAUCAUCUAAUAAUGAGCAGCGCUCGUUUCAUUUAGAUCGUCAAACGCUGCUCGUCACCACAUGAUUGUCAACGACAGUCAAUUCCGCUGCUGCCUGUAUCUCAAUCUCACAGACAGCGCUCUGGUGUUACAGGAAACGUUGUUUUUUUUAGAGGAUAAGCUAGAAAAUGUGUUAAUAGUC